Molecule: non-coding RNA, 82 nt
Organism: Ceratobasidium sp. 428
Lineage: Eukaryota; Fungi; Basidiomycota; Agaricomycetes; Cantharellales; Ceratobasidiaceae
Source: the annotation of a GenBank genome assembly
GGCUUCGUAGUGUAGUGGUUAUCACUUCGGAUUCUGAUUACGUAAGCUUCCGGCAACGCCGGUUCGACUCCGGCCGAGGCCU